UACGUAGGGGGCAAGCGUUGUCCGGAAUCAUUGGGCGUAAAGAGCGUGUAGGCGGCCUGAUAAGUCGGUUGUGAAAGUCAAGGGCUCAACCCUUGAAUGCCGGCCGAUACUGUCAGGCUAGAGUCCGGAAGAGGCGAGUGGAAUUCCUGGUGUAGCGGUGGAAUGCGCAGAUAUCAGGAAGAACACCGGUGGCGAAGGCGGCUCUCUGGGCCUUACCUGACGCUGAGGAGCGAAAGCGUGGGUAGCGAACAGG
This 253-nucleotide ribosomal RNA is filed under the name uncultured bacterium. RNAcentral's name for it is "partial 16S ribosomal RNA". It matches the Rfam family "Bacterial small subunit ribosomal RNA", at positions 524 to 776 of the family's 1533-position model. The record is from RNAcentral.